UGUGUGAUAGAUGGGAAUCUCCUGCAUGGAAGGAAAAAUCUGCCAGAAAUAAGAUGRCACAUAGUAAAUUGAGGUUCAAUCAUCGAGGUGGACCAAAACCAUUUCAGUGUCAUCGAGAAGAUUCGGAAGAAAUGAUUUCCUUAAAGGCGUAUCGUGCUUCUCAAGGAGACGAAAAAACAAAAGAAGAAAUCAUGGAGACGGUCC
This is a non-coding RNA of Momordica charantia (bitter melon), 204 nucleotides long. The record is from RefSeq and is a predicted model, not a curated record. NCBI's taxonomy places the organism in Eukaryota, Viridiplantae, Streptophyta, Magnoliopsida, Cucurbitales, Cucurbitaceae.